Molecule: unclassified non-coding RNA, 379 nt
Filed under: uncultured bacterium
Lineage: Bacteria
Description: contains 16S-23S intergenic spacer region
Source: RNAcentral
UCCGGUUUAACACCGGCAGUCUCCAUAGAGUGCCCAACUAAAUGAUGGCAACUAGGGAUAAGGGUUGCGCUCGUUAAGGGACUUAACCCGACAUCUCACGAUACGAGCUGACGACAGCCAUGCAGCACCUAAACCACGGGUCCCCGAAGGGAAAACCGUAUCUCUACAGCUGUCCUGUGUUGUCUAACCCAGGUAAGGUUCUUCGCGUUGCCUCGAAUUAAGCCACAUGCUCCGCCGCUUGUGCGGGCCCCCGUCAAUUCCUUUGAGUUUUAGCCUUGCGGCCGUACUCCCCAGGCGGGGCGCUUAAUGCGUUAGCUGCGGCACGGAUCCCGUGGAAGGGAACCCACACCUAGCGCCCAACGUUUACGGCGUGGACUAC